Non-coding RNA from Podarcis lilfordi (Lilford's wall lizard), 88 nucleotides. The record is from the annotation of a GenBank genome assembly. NCBI's taxonomy places the organism in Eukaryota, Metazoa, Chordata, Lepidosauria, Squamata, Lacertidae.
ACUCACAAGUUAGCUCAGUUGGUUAGAGCAUGGUGCUGAUAACGCCAAGGUUGCAAGUUGUUCAGAUGUUCUAGUGUGUAUGUGUGUG